CAGUGCUGCAAUUACCAUUUAAUCAAACUGAGCCUCAUUGCAUGUGACCAUGAAUAAGGAAAGUGUGAACAUUGGUUUACUUUGGUAUUAUUAUGGAUUGAUGUGCUCUGGGCGUAUACCCAUAUUGCCACACAUAUACCAUCAAAGAAAUGCAAACCAAGUGCAUCCUGGGAUGACCAAAAAUAUGCACUAUCAUGCACAAAAGACAACCGACACAGCAGGAGAUCCAGAGACGGACAGAGGUGAUUCUCUGUCAAGUGUUUUUGAUCAGGAAUGUCCUGCUGAGCUGCACAAUGCGAUGUCUGGCGACGCUUGGUCAUCCAGAGAAAAAACUGAGCCAUGGAUCUCCUUUGAAGACAUGGGAGCCUACUCAGCUAUUACAUCAUGGCCUUACUUCCCUUGGCAGAUACAAAGACCCACUGAGAAAACCAAACCCUCAGAGAUGUGGAGUGACCUAGAGAGGCACAUCCAGAAGCGAAAGGCCCAUGAUCAGUGGAACAGUGCGCAAGGACGGGAGAGGAUAGGCGUCGUCUGGCCCAGGCCAGCGCCAUCCAACAUCCCCUGAGCUCCAGUCACCCACACAUCCCUAACAAUUAUUUAUUUUCCAAUAAAUGCACACAAGAACGCC
Molecule: long non-coding RNA, 628 nt
Organism: Alosa alosa (allis shad)
Lineage: Eukaryota; Metazoa; Chordata; Actinopteri; Clupeiformes; Clupeidae
Exons: 2
Source: RefSeq, a predicted model, not a curated record